This 353-nucleotide ribosomal RNA is filed under the name uncultured bacterium. RNAcentral describes it as "bacterial SSU rRNA". It matches the Rfam family "Bacterial small subunit ribosomal RNA", at positions 917 to 1269 of the family's 1533-position model. The record is from RNAcentral.
GGGCCCGCACAAGCGGUGGAGCAUGUGGUUUAAUUCGAUGCAACGCGAAGAACCUUACCAGGCCUUGACAUCCUCGGAACUUUCUAGAGAUAGAAAGGUGCCUUCGGGAACGCAGUGACAGGUGCUGCAUGGCUGUCGUCAGCUCGUGUUGUGAAAUGUUGGGGUUAAGUCCCGUAACGAGCGCAACCCUUGUCCUUAUUUGCCAGCACGUAAUGGUGGGAACUCUAAGGAGACUGCCGGUUAUAAACCGGAGGAAGGUGGGGAUGACGUCAAGUCAGCAUGCCCCUUACACCCUGGCUACACACGUGCUACAUUGGGCGAGACAAUGAGAUGCAAAUCUGUGAAGACUAGCU